This 798-nucleotide long non-coding RNA is filed under the name Fukomys damarensis (Damara mole-rat). RNAcentral's name for it is "lncRNA (ENSFDAG00000022188.1)". Lineage: Eukaryota; Metazoa; Chordata; Mammalia; Rodentia; Bathyergidae. The record is from RNAcentral.
UGGUGUGUAAAGAAUAGGAGUUUAAAUUGUGAGGCAGAAAAUUCAUAAGACCAGAAGCAGGCCAAUUUGAGACACAUCAAAGGAGGGGCAUUGUGACCAAAUAUGCGAGUAUGAUGUCAGGAGAUUCGCAAGCUUUCCUGGAGCUGCUGUAGAUGGGCAUGUUGUGUGUGACACUGGGACAGGUCCAGCCUGGGACGAUCAGGCUGAGAGGACCAACCAGUGCUUCAGUUCUCCUCAUGUGUUGUCAUAAUCUGGUUAGUCAGGAAGCAGCCCAAAGCAGCAAACUUGUGUCAGCCCCUGGAGGCCAUGGAGCUGGAGGUCGUGAGUCUCUGGACCUGGGAGACAAGUCUUCCUUCCUGAAAACACUGUACUCACUGAGUCUUCUCCCCAGGAUUCAGCAGGGCCCAAAAAGUAGCAUUUCCAACAAACACAAAUGUCAGAAGCACUGGUAUGAGAAUUACAUGUUGAGAGCCUCCUUUUUCCAGGAAGAGGAAUCAUUAAGAAACAUAGAAUGCCUUGCUGAGUAGCAUUUUGACCCUCGACCUCAAGAAGUGCACCCUCCUCUCUGGGACAUCAAGAGUGGUCCCCCGACUAUUUAGCUGUGAAAGAACAGACUAUACCUUGAAGGGGGCUCUACAGCACUUCCUGUAGAGCUAUUGACCACUGAAAAUACACAUGGACUUGAGAGUCUGAACUGCUUUGUGUCUAAUAACAUUUUUAUGUUAACCUAAUACAACAUCAGUAAGUCAUGCCUUCUUAUGUUUUGAGAGAAAAUUAUUAAAUAAUUUACAAAGUGAC